Molecule: long non-coding RNA, 482 nt
Organism: Serinus canaria (Common canary)
Lineage: Eukaryota; Metazoa; Chordata; Aves; Passeriformes; Fringillidae
Exons: 3
Source: RefSeq, a predicted model, not a curated record
UUAAAAAGGUUGCAGUGCUGCAAAAAGGUAGUCAGAGGCAGCAUGUAGUUAAAUGCAGAGAUGCUUCACCUCCAAGUGAUUCAUCUGCAUCUUUUAUGCCAGGUAGGAGGAUGAGAGUCGUGCAAAAGUCCCACUUCUUCCCUCUAAAGAGCCCUGCCCACUGCUGAAACAGAAGCUGGACUCCAGCAAGUGCUUUUUGAGCUUCUCAGGGUUAAAGUAGCCCACAAUCUGGGGAUCACAAGGUUACUGUUAAGCUUAAGAGACACGGGACUAAAGACACAUGGAGAAACUACUGAUUUUACAGCCGCAUAAUUGCUACUAGAGGCUUAUAUGGAGGAGGGCAAAAAAAUGAUAUAAUAAACAAAGGAUUACCUGCAUCAUCUGGUGUCCAUGGAUUCCGUGCUGGCUUUUCAGAGGUUGGUCCCGAGGUAGUGAUCAUUCUCACACUAGGACUAGAUGAUCUACUGCUGUUUCUACUCUCC